AUUGAACGCUGGCGGCAGGCCUAACACAUGCAAGUCGAGCGAGCGGCGGACGGGUGAGUAAUGUAUGGGGACUGCCCGAUAGAGGGGGAUAACUACUGGAAACGGUAGCUAAUACCGCAUACUAUCGGCUAACACAUAUGGGAUUAGCUAGUAGGUGGGGUAAUGGCUCACCUAGGCGACGAUCCCUAGCUGGUCUGAGAGGAUGAUGAGCAACAUGGGACUUGGGAAACGGCCCGAUGCCUACGGAGGCAGCAGUGGGGAAUAUUGCACAAUGGGCGCAAGCCUGAUGCAGCCAUGCCGCGUGUAUGAAGAAGGCCCUAGGGUUGUAAAGUACUUUAAGUCGGGAGGCGGUACCGACAGAAGAAGCACCGGCUAACUCCGUGCCAGCAGCCGCGGUAAUUC
This 402-nucleotide ribosomal RNA is filed under the name uncultured bacterium. RNAcentral's name for it is "partial 16S ribosomal RNA". It matches the Rfam family "Bacterial small subunit ribosomal RNA", at positions 30 to 526 of the family's 1533-position model. The record is from RNAcentral.